Molecule: non-coding RNA, 530 nt
Organism: Pantherophis guttatus
Lineage: Eukaryota; Metazoa; Chordata; Lepidosauria; Squamata; Colubridae
Source: RefSeq, a predicted model, not a curated record
UGGAUCCUUAAUAGGUAGAAGAGCAGGAGAGAGAGAAAUCGGAGCAAACACAAUUUUGGGAUUUUGUAGUGGCCUCCCAUUGCAACACUAUUCAGGCCUAACUACUUAGCUUUGAGCCCAGACAAGGUUGACCAGGUGCUACUACUUACAGAGAAAUCAUAGUGAGCAUUAUACUCUCCAGGGAAUCAGGACUGCGCAUAUCUUUUAAGUUGGAUGAGACCCAGAUUGUGCCUUCUUCAUUGGUGACAACUUCAGGGAGACGUGCCUGCUAGCAAGCAAGGGGCAUCGUUCCAAAGUCUUCCCUGAGAAACUACAAGCAGGAGCUUGCCGAGCCUGAAGUUAGAAGGCUAGCCUGCGAAGGAUCAAAACGAAGGAGCCGUGGUGGCUACACUGUGCAAGAAAGAGGCAGACAAGAAGUUGUGAGAAGCAGCCAGAAGGUGCCACCAUGUGAAUUUUCUGCCCAAGGUUUGCAGGGCUGCCAGACUCUCUGGCAGCUUGCUUUGCUCAAGCAAGAAACUUCGCUUUCUCUG